AGGCGAUCAACAUAGGUGUUUCGGAAGCCUUGAAAGUUUCUGAGGGGUGUGCAAUCCAUCCGUCGUUUA
RNAcentral lists this transfer RNA (69 nucleotides) under Hippopus hippopus. RNAcentral describes it as "tRNA-Ser". Lineage: Eukaryota; Metazoa; Mollusca; Bivalvia; Cardiida; Cardiidae. The record is from RNAcentral.